GAUCUGAAGUCUAAGUUGUUAACGGAUAUGAUAUGGGAAGGUUGAGCUGCUGUUUAUCUGUUCCUAGAGAUGCUAGAAUUUUGGAGAAUUUUAUCUUUGAAAAUCUUAAAAAUGUUGCAUGAUGAGUUCCUGUAUGAUGAGAGUUUUAAAUUCCUACCACAGCCAUAUAUACAUGCUUGCUAGACUUUGAGCCACACAUUUACUAUUUACUGCUUAUGAGCAUUGAGUGUGGUCAAGCUGUGUAGACCCUUAGGAGCUUGUCAUGUGGUUAAAUCAAGAUUCACUUGCACGUUCACUCAUAUAUGCUACUUCUACUCCGGAAGUACCAUCCACAUAUAUCCACCCAUUCCAUCUCCAGAAUCACCUAAAAAUAUUCUACUCCUAAUCCGAGAGAGAAUAACCAAAAAUAUUUCUGUUUCCCUUGUGAAAUAAAUGCUCAAGUUAUCUUUUUACUACCACUUGCUAUAUUAUCUCAAGAGAUGAGUGCUCUAAAAAAAAGGGAAAAAAAUAUAUACGAGGAAAUAAAAAGGAGCAAGUGCUCGGAACCUCGAAAGAACAGAAAAGUAAGACGAGAGGUAAAAAUGGACAAGUGUCCCACAGUAGAAUUAGGGGUACAAGAUACCCACCUGAGAGAAAAAAGAGAAGAGCAUCUCAUUCUCCUCAUAAAGUUUCAAAAAAGCAAGGAAGGUAUGUAUCCCCACAAAAGAGCAAAGUAGAAUUAGACUUCCACCAUUGUUAUCACCAUCAUCACCAUACACCAUUCAUUCGCCACACAUGCACAUCUUGAUUUGGCUUAUUGAUUUGUUUCUUUGGAUCCAUGGUUUGACUAUGCAAUAAAUGUUUUGUAAGUAUGUAUACUUUAUCUCCCACCUAUGAGCUCCAGAUAUUAAAGCCUUAUUAUAGUAGGAUGAGAGAGAAGGCAAUGUCACUAUGCUUUAUACCACAAUUACUACAUAUUUUGAGAGAAGGCAUAUACCAUCACUGCCUUGGUAAGGAUCCAGAAAUACCACCAAAG
Molecule: long non-coding RNA, 1015 nt
Filed under: Sorghum bicolor (sorghum)
Lineage: Eukaryota; Viridiplantae; Streptophyta; Magnoliopsida; Poales; Poaceae
Description: long non-coding RNA (SBIC_LNC012154)
Source: RNAcentral